GAACCACUUUUAACGGCCGCGGUAUCCUAACCGUGCAAAGGUAGCAUAAUCACUUGUCCUCUAAAUAAGGACUAGAAUGAACGGCCAAACGAGGGCAUAACUGUCUCCUGUAGCCCACCAAUAAACCUGAUCUCUCCGUACAAAAGCUGAGAUAAACACACUAGACAAGAAGACCCUGUGGAGCUUUAAGCCAAAGUGCCAACACCUACCACCAUUGACGCACGCUUUUAGUUGGGGCGACUACGGAGCAAAACAAAACCUCCACGACACAACUCCAAUCCAAGACCCACAUGUCAAACCAAAAACACUACGACCCAGUCCAACUGACCACCGAACCAAGUUACCCCAGGGAUAACAGCGCCAUCCUCCCCAAGAGUCCAUAUCGCCAGGAGGGCUUACGACCUCGAUGUUGGAUCAGGACACCCCGGUGGUGCAGCCGCUACCAAAGG
RNAcentral lists this ribosomal RNA (449 nucleotides) under Tarentola boehmei. RNAcentral describes it as "partial 16S ribosomal RNA". It matches the Rfam family "Bacterial large subunit ribosomal RNA", at positions 1915 to 2571 of the family's 2925-position model. The record is from RNAcentral. Lineage: Eukaryota; Metazoa; Chordata; Lepidosauria; Squamata; Phyllodactylidae.